AACGAACGCUGGCGGCAUGCCUAACACAUGCAAGUCGAACGAGACCUUCGGGUCUAGUGGCGCACGGGUGCGUAACGCGUGGGAACCUGCCCUUAGGUUCGGCAUAACUCCCCGAAUGGGGUGCUAAUACCGGAUAAUGUCUUCGGACCAAAGAUUUAUCGCCUUUGGAUGGGCCCGCGUUGGAUUAGCUAGUUGGUAGGGUAAAAGCCUACCAAGGCGACGAUUCAUAGCUGGUCUGAGAGGAUGAUCAGCCACACUGGGACUGAGAAACGGCCCAGAAUCCUACGGGAGGCAGCAGUGGGGAAUAGUGGACAGUGGGCGAAAGCCUGAUCCAGCAAUGACGCGUGAGUGAUGAAGGCCUUAGGGUUGUAAAGCUCUUUUACCCGGGAUGAUAAUGACAGUACCGGGAGAAUAAGCCCCGGCUAACUCCGUG
RNAcentral lists this ribosomal RNA (433 nucleotides) under uncultured bacterium. RNAcentral's name for it is "partial 16S ribosomal RNA". It matches the Rfam family "Bacterial small subunit ribosomal RNA", at positions 29 to 507 of the family's 1533-position model. The record is from RNAcentral.